AGAGUUUGAUCCUGGCUCAGAACGAACGCUGGCGGCGUGGUUAAGACAUGCAAGUCGAACGGACUAUUCAAUUGAGUAAUCGAGAGAAUAGUUAGUGGCGAAAGGGUGAGUAACGGAUAGGUAACGUACCCUGUGCUCCGGAAUAGCGUCGGUUGCUUCGGCAACCUUCCGAAAGGGGCGGUAAUACCGGAUAAUAUCACGUGUCGACAGGCACAUGAUCAAAGAUUUAUCGGCGUGGGAGCGGCCUAUCUCUUAUCAGCUUGUUGGUGAGGUAAUGGCUCACCAAGGCUAUGACGGGUAGCGGGACUGAGAGGUCGUUCCGCCACAUCGGGACUGAGACACUGCCCGGACCUCCACGGAGGGCUGCAGUAACGAAUCUUGCGCAAUGGGCGAAAGCCUGACGCAGCGACGCCGCGUGUGGGAGGAAGUCCCUCGGGAUGUAAACCACUGUCAGGGAGAAGAAAGUACGCCCCGGCGUAUUGAUCUAACCCACAGGAAGUCACGGCUAACUUCGUGCCAGCAGCCGCGGUAAGACGAAGGUGACAAGCGUUGUUCGGUAUUACUGGGCUUAAAGCGUGUGUAGGCGGAAUGGUAAGCGUCUUGUGAAAGCCCCCGGCUUAACCGGGGAAAUGCUUGACGAACUGCCUUUCUUGAGGCAAGUAGGGGUGCACGGAACUCUUGGUGGAGCGGUGAAAUGCGUAGAUAUCAAGAGGAACGCCGGUGGAGAAAUCGGUGCACUGGGCUUGGCCUGACGCUGAGACACGAAAGCGUGGGGAGCGAACGGGAUUAGAUACCCCGGUAGUCCACGCCGUAAACGAUGUCUACUAGGUUGUGGAGGUUCUGACACUUGCACGGCCGAAGCAAAAGUGCUAAGUAGACCGCCUGGGGAGUACGGCCGCAAGGCUAAAACUCAAAGGAAUUGACGGGGGCUCACACAAGCGGUGGAGCAUGUGGAUUAAUUCGAAGCAACGCGUAGAACCUUACCUGGGUUUGACAUGCUUGGAUGCAAUCUUGGAAACAGGGGAUGCUGCCCUUCGGAGUGAAACUUGCACAGGUGCUGCAUGGCUGUCGUCAGCUCGUGUCGUGAGAUGUUGGGUUAAGCCCUUUAACGAGCGAAACCCUUGCCGUUAGUUGCCAGCGGGUUAUGCCGGGGACUCUAACGGGACUGCCGGUGCCAAACCGGAGGAAGGUGGGGAUGACGUCAAGUCAUCAUGGCCUUUAUGCCCAGGGCUUCACACGUGCUACAAUGGCGGCAACAGAGCGACGCGAGACCGUGAGGUGGAGCAAAUCGCAAAAAUGUCGCCUCAGUUCGGAUUGUAGGCUGGCAACUCGCCUGCAUGAAGUCGGAAUCGCUAGUAAUCGCGUAUCAGCAAUGACGCGGUGAAUGUGUUCCUGAGCCUUGUACACACCGCCCGUCAAGUGAUGGGAGUCGGGAGUACCCGAAGUCGGUUUGCCAACCCAGCUUGCUGGGGGGCGGCUGCCGACGGUAAGCCUGAUGACUGGCACUAAGUCGUAACAAGGUAACC
This 1526-nucleotide ribosomal RNA is filed under the name uncultured bacterium. Its description in RNAcentral is "bacterial SSU rRNA". It matches the Rfam family "Bacterial small subunit ribosomal RNA". The record is from RNAcentral.